UUGAGUGUAAGUGCGUGUACAGGAUGAAAAGAAGGGAGUAUAGUUGUUAUAUCAACCUGUAAUCGCGAGGCUGCCACCGAGAGGCUCAUCGUCCCCACGUUCAGACACGGACGUCUCCUUCUCUUCUGGUCUGGAAAUACAAUCCUGGGAAUCAGAAGGACGAAGUAUACGGACGAAUAACACGAUUCGUCGAAGGAUGUCGAGAGUAAAUCCGCAACCGCAAUCAGUUGGCGCAAAACACGCACCUACGACCAGGACGAGGAGUCGAGGGUGGUUUCGUCCAUGGUGUCAUUCGGUGGCUGGGCUUGGGCAGUCUACUACUGGACUAUGAUGUGCGGUGCCGAAAGUAGCACGGCGACGGUCGCGAUAACGGUGAACAUCGUGAAUAUGAUGAGACAAAACCUGGGGAAGAAAGACCGAGGCGGUAAAGAAGCCUUCUUCAUCCGGUUCGUGAUGAACUGCAGCUCCCUCAGGAUCGUCUGGAGUUCUCUCCUCGUUCCGCUCAGGGGCAAAGAGGCCGACGUCUCCUCGACCGUCGCCGGUCUCCCCGAG
Molecule: long non-coding RNA, 552 nt
Filed under: Neodiprion pinetum (white pine sawfly)
Lineage: Eukaryota; Metazoa; Arthropoda; Insecta; Hymenoptera; Diprionidae
Description: uncharacterized LOC124222939
Source: RNAcentral